Molecule: ribosomal RNA, 429 nt
Filed under: Bacteroidota bacterium
Lineage: Bacteria; Pseudomonadati; Bacteroidota
Description: Bacteroidetes bacterium partial 16S ribosomal RNA
Rfam family: Bacterial small subunit ribosomal RNA
Source: RNAcentral
UAGGGAAUCUUCCGCAAUGGACGCAAGUCUGACGGAGCAACGCCGCGUGAGUGAAGAAGGAUUUCGGUUCGUAAAACUCUGUUGUUAGAGAAGAACAGCGCAUAGAGUAACUGUUAUGCGUGUGACGGUAUCUAACCAGAAAGCCACGGCUAACUACGUGCCAGCAGCCGCGGUAAUACGUAGGUGGCAAGCGUUGUCCGGAUUUAUUGGGCGUAAAGCGAGCGCAGGCGGUCAAUUAAGUCGGAUGUGAAAGCCCCCGGCUCAACCGGGGAGGGUCAUUGGAAACUGGUUGGCUUGAGUGCGGAAGAGGAGAGUGGAAUUCCAUGUGUAGCGGUGAAAUGCGUAGAUAUAUGGAGGAACACCAGUGGCGAAGGCGACUCUCUGGUCUGUAACUGACGCUGAGGCUCGAAAGCGUGGGUAGCAAACAGG